AGCAGCCGCGGUAAUUCCAGCUCCAAUAGCGUAUAUUAAAGUUGUUGCAGUUAAAAAGCUCGUAGUUGAAUUUCGGGGUUAGUAGGUUGGUCAUGCCUCUGGUAUGUAAUGGUCUCACUGAUUCCUCCUUCCUGAUGAGCCGUAAUGCCAUUAAUUUGGUGUUGCGAGGAAUUUGGACUGUUACUUUGAAAAAAUUAGAGUGUUUAAAGCAAGCUAACGCUUGAAUACAUUAGCAUGGAAUAAUGAAAUAGGACGUUCGAUCCUAUUUUGUUGGUUUCUAGGAUUGACGUAAUGAUUAAUAGGGAUAGUUGGGGGCAUUAGUAUUCAAUUGUCAGAGGUGAAAUUCUUGGAUUUAUUGAAGACUAACUACUGCGAAAGCAUUUGCCAAGGAUGUUUUCAUUAAUCAAGAACGAAAGUUAGGGGAUCGAAGACGAUCAGAUACCGUCGUAGUCUUAACCAUAAACUAUGCCGACUAGGGAUCGGAUGAUGUUAAUUUUUAAUGA
RNAcentral lists this ribosomal RNA (503 nucleotides) under uncultured Glomus. RNAcentral's name for it is "SSU rRNA". It matches the Rfam family "Eukaryotic small subunit ribosomal RNA", at positions 569 to 1074 of the family's 1831-position model. The record is from RNAcentral. Lineage: Eukaryota; Fungi; Glomeromycota; Glomeromycetes; Glomerales; Glomeraceae.